RNAcentral lists this ribosomal RNA (301 nucleotides) under uncultured bacterium. Its description in RNAcentral is "partial 16S ribosomal RNA". It matches the Rfam family "Bacterial small subunit ribosomal RNA", at positions 509 to 809 of the family's 1533-position model. The record is from RNAcentral.
CAGUCGCCACGGUAAUACGGAGGGUGCGAGCGUUAAUCGGAAUUACUGGGCGUAAAGAGUGCGUAGGUGGUUAAUUAAGUUAUCUGUGAAAUUCCUGGGCUUAACCUGGGCAGGUCAGAUAAUACUGGUUAACUCGAGUAUGGGAGAGGGUAGUGGAAUUUCCGGUGUAGCGGUGAAAUGCGUAGAGAUCGGAAGGAACACCAGUGGCGAAGGCGGCUACCUGGCCUAAUACUGACGCUGAGGCGCGAAAGCGUGGGGAGCAAACAGGAUUAGAGACCCCCGUAGUCCCUGUCUCUUAUAA